GUGUCAGCCGCCGCGGUAAUACGAAUGGUGCAAGCGUUGUUCGGAAUCACUGGGCAUAAAGAGCACGUAGGCGGCGACGCAAGUCGGCUGUGAAAUCCCCCGGCUCAACCGGGGAAUUGCAGCCGAAACUACAUCGCUAGAGUGUGGGAGGGGAGAACGGAAUUCCUGGUGGAGCGGUGAAAUGCGUAGAUAUCAGGAGGAACGCCGGAGGCGAAAGCGGUUCUCUGGCCCACAACUGACGCUGAGGUGCGAAAGCUAGGGGAGCAAACAGGAUUAGAUACCCUGGUAGUCCUAGCCGUAAACGAUGGGCACUACGUAGGGGGGCUCCCAAGGCCUCCCUGCCGGAGCUAAUGUAUUAAGUGCCCCGCCUGGGGAGUAUGGUCGCAAGGCUAAAACUCAAAGGAAUUGACGGGGGCUCACACAAGCGGUGGAGCAUGUUGUUUAAUUCGAUGCAACGCGAAGAACCUUACCUGGGCUUGACAUGCAAGUAGUACCAAACCGAAAGGGGCGGGACCUCCUUUGGGGGAGCUUGCACAGGUAUUGCAUGGCUGUCGUCAGCUCGUGUCGUGAGAUGUUGGGUUAAGUCCCGUAACGAGCGAAACCCUUGUCCUUAGUUACCAGCGGGUCAUGCCGGGGACUUUAAGGAGACUGCCGGUGUUAAACCGGAGGAAGGCGGGGAUGACGUCAAGUCAUCAUGGUCCUUACGCCCAGGGCCACAAACGUGCUACAAUGGCCGGUACAGAGGGCAGCAAUACGGCGACGUGGAGCAAAUCCCAAAAAACCGGUCCCAGUUCGGAUUGGAGGCUGAAAUUCGCCUCCAUGAAGUUGGAAUCGCUAGUAAUCGCGGAUCAGCCAUGCCGCGGUGAAUGUGUUCCUGAGCCUUGCACACACCGCCCGUC
This 899-nucleotide ribosomal RNA is filed under the name uncultured bacterium. Its description in RNAcentral is "bacterial SSU rRNA". It matches the Rfam family "Bacterial small subunit ribosomal RNA", at positions 505 to 1398 of the family's 1533-position model. The record is from RNAcentral.